RNAcentral lists this transfer RNA (70 nucleotides) under Sphaerodactylus townsendi. Its description in RNAcentral is "tRNA-Ala". Lineage: Eukaryota; Metazoa; Chordata; Lepidosauria; Squamata; Sphaerodactylidae. The record is from RNAcentral.
GCCGUGGCUCAGUGGGAGAGCACCUGCUUUGGCGUACAGAAGUGCCCAGUUUCGAUCCUCGGCAUCUCCA